AGGCAACACCGCCAAAUAGUGCCACUUCCUGGGCCAAGCAUAUUCAAAGCAUGACACAUUUUAAGUUGAAAGCUGUGCAAGAACAGUGUAAUGUAAAAUACCUGCAAACAUUCCAGGAGAAGAUGACCCCAGGUAUAAAGAUGUUAGGUCAAAGAUGAAACACUGUUUUUACGCUGUUUUACUUUGUUUUACAACACUACUUUACUUUGUUUUACAACAAAGGAAGUAUGAAGAAACCUAAACGUCAAUGACUAAUUGAACCAGUGCAGUCGGUUAGGAUCCUACCAGGAAGUCUGAGGACCUUAGCUGUGACUCUUACCUAAACCAGGGAAGAAGAAAACUGAUACCUGUAGGUUGUGUUCCGACAUCGACAUAUGUGCCAUGGCAUGCAGUAUCCAUUCUCAAAGAAAUAAAAUGAGAGAGCCAUGAAAGCAGGAGCAGAAGCAAGAAGGUGACUGUACAUGCGGGGACAUGCUCUGGUGGCUCACUGAAGCUGGAUGAUGCGCAGAGAGAGGAGUAGACACUUUGUGUGGGGGAGAGACUGGUUGAUGUGCUUGAUGAAGAAAAAGGGAGCUAUGGCUAAUGCCUCCCCGACACUGCUCUUUCAAAGCAAACAUUGUCUGAGCCGAAAUCCACAGAAGGUGCUAACAAGAAAAAGUUUAACUGCAAUGAAAAUCUAUUUUUCAACUCUUUUCCUCUAAGAUGAAAGGUAAAUAAAAUCCUACAGGAGUGCUGGAUGGAGGAAGACUGUAGCUGAAGUGACAGGAAUUGUUCACCAGGAGUGAUGACAGGAUCUCCUGAGAAGCACAGGCAAUUCUGCAGCUGACCUGGCUUGUUUUACAUUUUCUCUUAAGUAGGCUAGGCAGGGUUCCUGUAACUUCUACCCUUACCCUCUUCAGAGAGCAAGAGUUCUUCUUGAUUUGGGAUCCAUGUGCUUGUUCUAGCUUAACUAAUAUAUUACAACAAUUUCAUAAAAACUGAUACUGCCUGUGAGUUUUUCUGUACUGUAGAGGAAGUCUCUAAGUUGAUGUAUAUUCUUAAGUGUUUAGAUCACUGGAAAGAGAGACACAUUGGACACGCAAACUUUAUAUGCCCCAGUACAGGGGAACGC
Molecule: long non-coding RNA, 1111 nt
Organism: Mus musculus (house mouse)
Lineage: Eukaryota; Metazoa; Chordata; Mammalia; Rodentia; Muridae
Product: predicted gene, 33805
Exons: 3
Source: RefSeq, a predicted model, not a curated record